RNAcentral lists this ribosomal RNA (734 nucleotides) under uncultured bacterium. Its description in RNAcentral is "bacterial SSU rRNA". It matches the Rfam family "Bacterial small subunit ribosomal RNA", at positions 771 to 1501 of the family's 1533-position model. The record is from RNAcentral.
AACAGGAUUAGAUACCCUGGUAGUCCAUGCCGUAAACGUUGGGCACUAGGUGUGGGGCUCAUUCCACGAGUUCCGUGCCGCAGCUAACGCAUUAAGUGCCCCGCCUGGGGAGUACGGCCGCAAGGCUAAAACUCAAAGGAAUUGACGGGGGCCCGCACAAGCGGCGGAGCAUGCGGAUUAAUUCGAUGCAACGCGAAGAACCUUACCAAGGCUUGACAUGCACCGGAAACACUCAGAGAUGGGUGCCCCGCAAGGUCGGUGCACAGGUGGUGCAUGGUUGUCGUCAGCUCGUGUCGUGAGAUGUUGGGUUAAGUCCCGCAACGAGCGCAACCCUCGUCCCAUGUUGCCAGCGGGUUAUGCCGGGGACUCAUGGGAGACUGCCGGGGUCAACUCGGAGGAAGGUGGGGAUGACGUCAAAUCAUCAUGCCCCUUAUGUCUUGGGCUUCACGCAUGCUACAAUGGCCGGUACAGAGGGCUGCGAUACCGUAAGGUGGGGCGAAUCCCAAAAAGCCGGUCUCAGUUCGGAUUGGGGUCUGCAACUCGACCCCAUGAAGUCGGAGUCGCUAGUAAUCGCAGAUCAGCAACGCUGCGGUGAAUACGUUCCCGGGCCUUGUACACACCGCCCGUCAAGUCACGAAAGUUGGUAACACCCGAAGCUCACGGCCCAACCCCUUGUGGGAGGGAGUGGUCGAAGGUGGGACUGGCGAUUGGGACUAAGUCGUAACAAGGUAACC